RNAcentral lists this ribosomal RNA (1144 nucleotides) under seawater metagenome. Its description in RNAcentral is "bacterial LSU rRNA". It matches the Rfam family "Bacterial large subunit ribosomal RNA", at positions 1398 to 2518 of the family's 2925-position model. The record is from RNAcentral.
CGAGAUGAGAUUCGUGACUGGAGUUCAGACGUGUGCUCUUCCGAUCUCGAUCAUGUAGUAGGCAAGCUGCGGAGGGACGCAGUGAGGUAGCUCAUCCCCGGUGAUGGUUGUCCGGGGCUAAGUGUGUGGACUGUCUGGUAGGUAAAUCCGCUGGGCGUGAAGGUUGAGGCAUGAUGGGGAGCCCAUGGUUGUGGGUGAGUGAGUGAUCCUGUACUGUCGAGAAAAGCUUCGUGAGCGAGGUGGCGGGUCCGCCCGUACCCUAAACCGACACUGGUGGAUAGGUAGAGUAUACCGAGGCGAUCGAGUGAAUCGUGGUGAAGGAACUCGGCAAAAUGCCCCCGUAACUUUGGGAUAAGGGGGACCUGAGCUGUCGUGCACCCGUGCGGUGUGGUGGCGGUGAGGGGCGCAGAGUCCAGGGGGAAACGACUGUUUACCAAAAACACAGGUCCGUGCGAAGUCGUAAGACGAUGUAUACGGACUGACUCCUGCCCGGUGCUGGAAGGUUAAGGGGAACUGUGAGUGUGAUGCGUAGCGGUGAACUUAAGCCCCAGUAAACGGCGGUGGUAACUAUAACCAUCCUAAGGUAGCGAAAUUCCUUGUCGGGUAAGUUCCGACCUGCACGAAUGGAGUAACGAUUUCCCUACUGUCUCCACCAUGAACUCGGUGAAAUUGCAUUACGAGUAAAGAUGCUCGUUACGCGCAGCAGGACGGAAAGACCCCGGGACCUUUACUAUAGUUUGGUAUUGGUGAUUGGGACGGUUUGUGUAGGAUAGGUGGGAGACGUUGAUGCGGCCACGCUAGUGGUGGUGGAGUCGUUGGUGAAAUACCACUCUGAUUGUUCUGGUUAUCUCACUGUGGACCGUGAUCCGGUUCAAGGACAGUGCCUGAUGGGUAGUUUGACUGGGGCGGUCGCCUCCUAAAGGGUAACGGAGGCGCCCAAAGGUUCCCUCAGCCUGGUUGGUAAUCAGGUGGUGAGUGUAAGUGCACAAGGGGGCUUGACUGUGAGACUGACAGGUCGAGCAGGGACGAAAGUCGGGACUAGUGAUCUGACGGUGGCUUGUGGAUGCGCCGUCACUCAACGGAUAAAAGGUACCCCGGAGAUCGGAAGAGCGUCGUGUAGGGAAAGAGUGUAGAUCUCGGUGGU